AUUGAACGCUGGCGGCAUGCCUUACACAUGCAAGUCGAACGGCAGCGGGGGAGAAGCUUGCUUUUCCUGCCGGCGAGUGGCGAACGGGUGAGUAAUACAUCGGAACGUGCCCUGUAGUGGGGGAUAACUAGUCGAAAGAUUAGCUAAUACCGCAUACGACCUGAGGGUGAAAGUGGGGGACCGCAAGGCCUCAUGCUAUAGGAGCGGCAGAUGUCGGAUUAGCUAGUUGGUGGGGUAAAGGCCUACCAAGGCGACGAUGAGUAGCUGGUCUGGGAGGACAAUCAGCCACACUGGGCCUGAGACACGGCCCAGACUCCUACGGGAGGCAGCAGUGGGGAAUUUUGGACAAUGGGCGAAAGCCUGAUCCAGCAAUGCCGCGUGUGUGAAGAAGGCCUUCGGGUUGUAAAGCACCUUUGUCCGGAAAGAAAUGGCUCUGGUUAAUACCUGGGGUCGAUGACGGUACCGGAAGAAUAAGGACCGGCUAACUACGUGCCAGCCGCCGCCGUAA
RNAcentral lists this ribosomal RNA (508 nucleotides) under uncultured bacterium. Its description in RNAcentral is "partial 16S ribosomal RNA". It matches the Rfam family "Bacterial small subunit ribosomal RNA", at positions 30 to 523 of the family's 1533-position model. The record is from RNAcentral.